This 373-nucleotide long non-coding RNA is filed under the name Elaeis guineensis (African oil palm). RNAcentral's name for it is "long non-coding RNA (EGUI_LNC072148)". The record is from RNAcentral. Lineage: Eukaryota; Viridiplantae; Streptophyta; Magnoliopsida; Arecales; Arecaceae.
CACGAGACAUGCAAACUUCACUAUGAAAAAAAAAAUUUACAAGAGGAGAUCUCACUCUCAACCCUUGUACACCCAAUUCUCUCUCACUAAAAGUUUUUCUCUCAAAAGCUCUCUCUCUCUUGGAAGACCCUCUGAACCCCUGAAGUACCUGAUGUUCGCUAUCCAAAAGCCUCUCUAGAGCCCUACUCUUGCUUCUCUUCUCAGCAUCACAACCCUCUCUCUCUUCUUCGGGUUACGUACGGUGCAUCCACGGGAGAAAACCAAAACCACAGCCACUGUUCCUAUGUACAGGCCUUUUAAAGAGCUUAAACCCAAUUAGAUUAGGUUUAAGACUCCUUAAUCAGCCCAAAUCAAGCCUCUGGACCGUCGGAUC